This 209-nucleotide unclassified non-coding RNA is filed under the name uncultured fungus. Its description in RNAcentral is "sequence contains ITS1, 5.8S rRNA gene". Lineage: Eukaryota; Fungi. The record is from RNAcentral.
GUAUUAUAUAUAUUUCAGCCAACGAAGGCCUACUUAGACAUUCUUUAAACUUUUUAAAAGGGUGUGUGUAAAAACAUAGACACAGACUUGCGUCUGGCCUACAAUAAGUUCACAGGUGAAUAGAAAAGGCGGAGUGCACAUGCCCCAGAGGGGCCAGCAACAUCCUAAGGAUUUCAAUAAUGAUCCUUCCGCAGGUUCACCUACGGAAA